CUUGCCUUAGUAGGACGUAUUAAAACUGGAACAGUAUAGAAAUCAGCAUGGCCCCUGCAAAAUGGUGACACAAAUUCAUGAAGCAUUCCACAUUUUU
RNAcentral lists this small nuclear RNA (97 nucleotides) under Chinchilla lanigera (long-tailed chinchilla). The record is from RNAcentral. Lineage: Eukaryota; Metazoa; Chordata; Mammalia; Rodentia; Chinchillidae.